CUGAGGGUCUAGUCAUGAGUCAACAGGGGUAAUAGAAGGUGUUCUGAGGGUCUAGUCAUGAGUCAACAUGGGUAAUAGAAGGUGAGUUCUGAGGGUCUAGUCAUGAGUCAACAGGGGUAAUGGAAGGUGAGUUCUGAGGGUCUAGUCAUGAGUCAACAGGGGUAAUGGAAGGUGAGUUCUGAGGGUCUAGUCAUGAGUCAACAGGGGUAAUGGAAGGUGAGUUCUGAGGGUCUAGUCAUGAGUCAACAGGGGUAAUGGAAGGUGAGUUCUGAGGGUCUAGUCAUGAGUCAACAGGGGUAAUGGAAGGUGAGUUCUGAGGGUCUAGUCAUGAGUCAACAGGGGUAAUGGAAGGUGAGUUCUGAGGGUCUAGUCAUGAGUCAACAGGGGUAGUGGAAGGUGAGUUCUGAGGGUCUAGUCAUGAGUCAACAGGGGUAAUGGAAGGUGAGUUCUGAGGGUCUAGUCAUGAGUCAACAGGGGUAAUGGAAGGUGAGUUCUGAGGGUCUAGUCAUGAGUCAACAGGGGUAAUGGAAGGUGAGUUCUGAGGGUCUAGUCAUGAGUCAACAGGGGUAAUGGAAGGUGAGUUCUGAGGGUCUAGUCAUGAGUCAACAGGGGUAAUGGAAGGUGAGUUCUGAGGGUCUAGUCAUGAGUCAACAGGGGUAAUGGAAGGUGAGUUCUGAGGGUCUAGUCAUGAGUCAACAGGGGUAAUGGAAGGUGAGUUCUGAGGGUCUAGUCAUGAGUCAACAGGGGUAAUGGAAGGUGAGUUCUGAGGGUCUAGUCAUGAGUCAACAGGGGUAAUGGAAGGUGAGU
Long non-coding RNA from Oncorhynchus keta (chum salmon), 807 nucleotides. RefSeq lists it as uncharacterized. The transcript is spliced from 4 exons. Lineage: Eukaryota; Metazoa; Chordata; Actinopteri; Salmoniformes; Salmonidae. The record is from RefSeq and is a predicted model, not a curated record.